AUGAGGUGCAGGGACGGAGGCGGCAUGGCCCCAGCUCGCCCCCGCUCGCUUCGUCCCUGGGGAGGAGCCAACAUGAUCCUCACAGACGACAGCGACUCAAUCCAAGCAGCAAAUCCUCGCAGUCUCCUCCGUGCCGUCGCGCUGCCUCGCUCCCCUCGCGCCGGCCGGGCGACAGCAUACGUGCGCUCGCCGGAACAGCGCAACAAGGGAGCAAUGCAGCCGGCCGCUUCGUGGCCGCAACGGCGCGCUGGGGCAGCGCGGAGGGAGAGGCUCGCCGAUGAAGGCAGUCCACUGGAUGAAGGAAAGGAGAGGUGCUGCCGACCACGGCCGCCGCCGCGGCGCGUCUGUUUGGGGAAGGAUGGAACCCGUGCGGGCCUGUGUGAGAGGAAUACAGAGAGGCUCUGGAGCGUGGGCCGGGCCGAGGAAACAGCCCUCAGGCCCGAGGCCCGAGGCCCUGGACGGCGAUGGGCCACCAGAGCUCGCCGGAGCGCCAAGAAACCCACCUCUCGCCACCGCGCAGCAGCGCCCACCGCCUCUGCUCUCCAGCGCCGGCGACCGAUGGACAGGUUCCACGACAGGCAGCACGUGUGGCUGCGGAGCUGCGUGCACGGCACGUACCUCAACGCCGACAGCGACGGGAAGAGCGUCUCCCUCCGCCAGCGCCGCGAGUCGCUGAAGGCGGCGUGGGCGGUGCACAUCUACCAGGGCGACGUGCCGUACCUGCUCCUCUACAGCGCCGCCUACGGCCGCUACCUCGCCGCCACGGCCACGCCGGCUCCGCUCGCCCACCUCGGCUUCCGCGCCGAGCAGCGCGACUACGACCAGCCGGUGGUGCCGGCCAUCAUGUGGCGGGCCACCGCGACGGGAUUCGGGAACGACGUCCUGCUCCGCAACGUCGGCGGCCGGUACCUCCGCGCCAACGGCAAGCACACCAGCAAGUACCUCCGCUGGAACAACGGCGUCACCGUCGACGACGUCGACAACGUCAGCACCAUGAUGCACUGGACCGUCGAGCCCAUCCCCCUCAGAGGGCCGGACAUGCCUCAGCCUGGCUUUGCUGCCCCGAUUCCGAGCCGCAUCCCCCGAGAGCUGUCCGCGAUGCUGGGACGCGAGCGAGGGGCGUGGCGGCUGAUCCGGUUCGUGCGAGCGAGCGCCGAGGGGGAGUACGCCGAGGACGGCAACGGCUGGACCGAGUUCCAGUUCAGGGGGAGGUACGUGUACCACCUGAGGAACGAGCUGGCCAAACGCAUCAACGCCGAGGUGCACUUGUUCGAGCUCGCCAUGUGCGUCCGAGCGGGCCGCUACGGGCGUUUGACCCCGCUCAUCACCAACCUGCCCCACGGCUGCAACGGCGAGACCCUCCAGAUCGUCGCCUACCUCUCCGAGACCCCUGAUAAUUCAGUUCGUCCAUAUCGUAUCAUUUUGCCGCUGGCUAUGCACUUGAUACAAAUGCAAAAUGUAGCAGGUUCUUGCUGUGAGCUGACGAUCGUGCUGGCACUUGUGCUGUUUUCAGUGUUGGCCAAGGAGCAGGAAAAAGAAUUUGUAAUCUGUGUGGUCCUUACUAAUCUUGUUUGUUGGUUAUGUGCAACAACAGCUCCAUUUGUUCUUAAGAUCCAUAGUUCAGAGAGGCUGAUCUUUGACAAAGAUCAGCUGGCCCGCCAGCCAUCCGAUUGUGUCCUCAUUGCCGUUGGGUCACAGGGAGCUCCUAUUUGGCGAUUUCAGCACCGCUGGCACUCCUGGCGCUCACGCGCGACUCCUAGCGAGCUGGCCCAGCAAUCUCCUUAA
RNAcentral lists this ribosomal RNA (1785 nucleotides) under Triticum aestivum (bread wheat). Its description in RNAcentral is "partial small subunit ribosomal RNA". The record is from RNAcentral. Lineage: Eukaryota; Viridiplantae; Streptophyta; Magnoliopsida; Poales; Poaceae.